Molecule: ribosomal RNA, 319 nt
Filed under: uncultured eukaryote
Lineage: Eukaryota
Description: partial 18S ribosomal RNA
Rfam family: Eukaryotic small subunit ribosomal RNA
Source: RNAcentral
CCCUUAGAUGUUCUGGGCAGCACGCGCGCUACAAUGGUCUUCGCAAACGGAUGCAUUCUCGAAUGAGAAUGCCAAUCUUGGAAUCUAUGCCUUGGUCGGGACAGUUGCUUGCAAUUUUUCGACUCGAACCAGGAAUUCCUUGUAAUCGUGAUUCAUCACAUCACGAUGAAUACGUCCCUGCCCUUUGUACACACCGCCCGUCGCUCCUACCGAUCGAAGAGUUAGGUGAAUUGUUUUGAUCGAUAAGAUUUGACUAUGGUCAACUCUCGUUGUGAAAUUCUGUGAAUCCGACUGUUUAGAGGAAGGAAAAGUCGUAACA